RNAcentral lists this ribosomal RNA (484 nucleotides) under uncultured bacterium. Its description in RNAcentral is "partial 16S ribosomal RNA". It matches the Rfam family "Bacterial small subunit ribosomal RNA", at positions 30 to 507 of the family's 1533-position model. The record is from RNAcentral.
AUUGAGCGCUGGCGGCAGGCCUAACACAUGUAAGUCGAGCGGAUGAAGGGAGCUUGCUCCUGGAUUCAGCGGCGGACGGGUGAGUAAUGCCUAGGAAUCUGCCUGGUAGUGGGGGAUAACGUCCGGAAACGGGCGCUAAUACCGCAUACGUCCUGAGGGAGAAAGUGGGGGAUCUUCGGACCUCACGCUAUCAGAUGAGCCUAGGUCGGAUUAGCUAGUUGGUGGGGUAAAGGCCUACCAAGGCGACGAUCCGUAACUGGUCUGAGAGGAUGAUCAGUCACACUGGAACUGAGACACGGUCCAGACUCCUACGGGAGGCAGCAGUGGGGAAUAUUGGACAAUGGGCGAAAGCCUGAUCCAGCCAUGCCGCGUGUGUGAAGAAGGUCUUCGGAUUGUAAAGCACUUUAAGUUGGGAGGAAGGGCAGUAAGUUAAUACCUUGCUGUUUUGACGUUACCAACAGAAUAAGCACCGGCUAACUUCGUG